UACGUAGGGUGCAGGCGUUAAUCGGAAUUACUGGGCGUAAAGCGCGCGCAGGCGGUCUGCUAAGAGAGGUGUGAAAUCCCCGGGCUUAACCUGGGAACUGCGCUUCUACUGGCAGGCUUGAGUGUGGCAGAGGGGGGUGGAAUUCCACGUGUAGCAGUGAAAUGCGUAGAGAUGUGGAGGAACACCGAUGGCGAAGGCAGCCCCCUGGGCUAACACUGACGCUCAUGCACGAAAGCGUGGGGAGCAAACAGG
Molecule: ribosomal RNA, 252 nt
Filed under: uncultured bacterium
Lineage: Bacteria
Description: partial 16S ribosomal RNA
Rfam family: Bacterial small subunit ribosomal RNA
Source: RNAcentral